This is a long non-coding RNA of Mirounga angustirostris (Northern elephant seal), 17062 nucleotides long. RefSeq lists it as uncharacterized. The transcript has 3 exons. NCBI's taxonomy places the organism in Eukaryota, Metazoa, Chordata, Mammalia, Carnivora, Phocidae. The record is from RefSeq and is a predicted model, not a curated record.
CGUGGACAUACAGUGGAAUUAGAUUACCAAGCCCCGGCUGCCAGUCCAGAAGCAGAGUCGCUCUUAGAUCCACCCCCGCUGGGCGACAAAUACCGAGACAACAUGGUCUUCCUCCGUCCCAGACGUACGGUAGCGUCGUACUCUCCUAUUCGGUUAAAAAUCUCACGGUUGCCGUUUUAAAAUGAAUCCGUCUCGAGGUUGUCUCAGGAAAACGAGCGCUGUCGUCCCUGGGUGGGCUCGAACCACCAACCUUUCGGUUAACAGCCGAACGCGCUAACCGAUUGCGCCACAGAGACCCAGCUAGCAAACUCCCCGUGCGAUGUGUACAGAUUUCCGCGGCCGCGGAGGCUCUCGCCGCCCAGGGCGUCGCCGCGCCAGCCCCGCGGAGGAGCGCGCGGAGGCGGCGGCGGGAGGGGCCGAGGCUGCGGGCGGCCCCAGCGCGGGCGCGGGAGGGGAGAGGCCGAGCCCGCGGCCGCGCAGCCGGAGCGGCGGGGUCCCCUGUGGGGGCGAAGCGCGCCCCCGCGGGCGGCGCGGGCCCCGACGCGAGCUCGGGAGCCCGCCCCGGCUGGGGUGCGACCGCCUUCCCGCGCCGGCCGGGGGGCGCGGAGGGGCGCACCGUGCGCGGCUGCGCGGGCCGCGUGGGGGCACCGCCGGGGGAGCGCGACCCCGAGCAGGCCGCCCUGGGUCCGCCGGGGAGAGCUGGGGAGAAGGGGUCGCGGUCAGGCCGGGAAGAGAAGAGCCAAGUGCUGUGUGGGCUUGAAGCAUGGGGGCUCGGGGCGUGUGUUAGGCCCCAAACUUUCGGGCUGUUUCUCAACCUUUGUGUGUGCCCCCCCCCCCCCCCCGCGGCUCCCCGCCCCAGCACCACUGGCCACUGUUAGGUUUUAAUUCCACAGAUACACCGUGUACCUGAAUUUGCCGAACGUUUAUCUGUGCUUGCUCCUUAAAAAGAAAGGUAAGAUUUUUUCCCCCUCCCAAGAGCCAACUUCUGCCCGCUUUGAGGGAAUACGGCCUCCGAUGACAACGCAGGGUUUAGGGGACAUCAGAAGGGGCUUCGUGGAGGGUGUGGCCACUAAGAUAAGCCUUUAAGUUCGAAAUGGUCCCUGAAGGCGUCCCUCUUUCCCCGACUUCUGAAUUGAGCCCGCUGAAAUCGAGGAUGCCGCAGUAGCCCGGAAGGAGGGCGGCCGGAGCCAGACCCCGACCCGGGCGAGGAAAGCGCUUCCCGGCUGCCGUUUUGCUUCUGGACAGCCCAGUCGCUGGAGCUCAGGGGGACCGCCGCCUCCCUCCUCGCCCUACAAAAUGGGGGAACUCGCUCCAGCGCUCCACGUGGUAAAUCCAGUCCUUGUGUGUUGCGUGUUUCCAUCCGAUUGGACCCAGACCCACCCCUCCUCCUCGGUCUUUUUCUUACCCCCUUUUUAAAAGUGCACAGUUCGGCGACAUUAAGGACAUCUAUAUUGCUGUGCAACUGUCACCACUCUCCUUCUGCAGAACCUUGUCAUCUUCCUCAAGGAGGCUCUGUACCCAUUAAACACUACGUCCUCAUUCCCCUCUUCCCCCGGACCCUGUCAACUACCCUUCCACUUUCUGGUUCUGCCAAUUCGACUAUUCUGGGUAUCUCACGUGAGUGGAAUCAGACGGCAUUUGUCUUUUUGUGCCGGCUUAUUUCACUUGGCAUAAUGUCUUCAGUUCAUACAUGUUCUAGUACCUGUCAGAAUUUCAUUCCUUUCUAAGGCUGAAUCAUAUUCCAUUGUAUGACUACACCACAUUUUCUUUUUUUUUUUUUUAAAGAUUUUAUUUAUUUAUUUGAGAGAGAGAAUGAGAUAGAGAGAGAGCACAUGAGGGGGGGAGGGUCAGAAGGAGAAGCAGACUACCUGCCGAGCAGGAAGCCCGAUGCGGGACUCGAUCCCGGGACUCCAGGAUCAUGACCUGAGCUGAAGGCAGUCGCUUAACCAACUGAGCCACCCAGGCGCCCUACACCACAUUUUCUUUACUCAUUCAUGUGUCAGUGGACACUUGGGUGGCUUCCCCCUUUUGGUUAUUGUGAAUAAUGCUGCAGUGAUCAUGGAUGUGCAAAUAUCUCUUUGAGAUCUUGCCCUCAAUUCUUUUGGGUGUAUCCCUAGAAGUAUAAUUGAGGAAUCAUAGGGUAAUUCUAUUUUUAAAUUUUUUGAGGAGCCAUCCUACCAUUUUCCACAACAGCUGCACCAUUUAACAUUCCCACCAACAAGGGUUUCUGUUUCUCCACAUCCUCACCAACCUUCCUUCCUUUCUUUUUUUUCUUUUUGUAGUUAUCCUAAUGGGUGUGAAGUGUUAUCUCAUGUGGUUUUGAUUUGCAGUUCCCUAACGAUUAGUGAUGUUGACCAUCUUUUCUGAACCCUUCUUUUGAAUCUGGAUUCUAUGACCAAUCUUCUACUUGGUUCCUCCUAGCAAGAGCCAGCUCUGCUUCACUGAGGAGGAAGCGGAGAGGGACCAAGGGCAGCUUCCGAUAAAGAGCAGAGAGAAGGGGGCAAAGUGGAGCCCGCAGUUGAGCCCGAGCUGUGCCAGAAGAGGAGAUGAGGGGAAAUCUUCUGAGUAGGACCAUCCGGAGAUUCUGGUUGUCAGGAGGUUCUUGCUCAUCUGGGCUGGGCAACUUUUACGGUCAGUUAUGUUUAUCCUGGCUCUGUAGGGUUAUUUAUGUGUGUGUUGCCUGUGAGUGGCCAAAGGUGAAGAAGGAAUUGAUGGACUCCACCUUGUACAUAUUGGAACGGAUGUUUUUGGAACUGCGUUUGUAAAAGUUAACUUAAAAUGAUGCUAAUUUAACAGAAUUUUUCAUUUGCGUUUUCAGUUUCUUCUUAAGAACUAUGGGAAUUCUUAUUUAAGCAUUUAAAUAAUUAUCUCUUGUCUGUGUGUGUGAUUGCUCUUAAAAACACGAGAUCUUUCAGAUGUAUAAGGAAUAGAACUUUCUAUAAUUCCAUUCUAUUUUUAUUUUGAUUCUUAUUCUGCUGGUGCCAAAACCACAAUCUCAGUUAAUUCAGGCAUUUCUCUGCUUCCCUGGAGUUGUUUCCGAGGGCUGACACUUUGGAGGAUGGUCAUUUGUCUGGUCCUUGAGUCACAUGCACACACAGAUUGCUGAGGAGGCAAUUUUGCUCCUAUUGCAGACCCCACAGCUCUCCUGUGCAUCCACUGAGGGAUGGGAAUCUCUUAUAAAAUUGACGUUGGUGCAUCAGCCAUUCCUUAAAGUCAUUCCUGGCACAGUGCCCUCUGCUUAUAGGACCUGUUCAUGUCCCCCACAAAUUCACAUGUUAAAAUCUAAUCUCCAAUGUGAUGGUUUUGGGAGGCUUUGGGAGGUAUUUGGGUGAACUCUUAUGAAUAGGAUUAGUGAUUAGUGCCCUUUUAAGAAGAGGCCAGAGAGCUAGCUCAAUCUUUUCCCACCAUGUGAGGAUACAACAAGAGGUCAGCGGUCUGCAACCCAGAAGAAGGCUCUCACCUAGACCUGACCAUGCUAGCACCCUGAUCUGAGACUUCCAGCCUCCGGAACUGUGAGAACAAAAAGAAAGAAAAAGAGAUAACACCAGAAUACUGUCACCAGCAUGUUACUGUCACACAGGGCUGAUGGGAGCAAACUUGGAAUGUUUUUUCUGGACAGCCGUUUGGUGAUAUAAACAUUAAACAAUGUUUAUACCCUAUUGUUCUAGCAAUUCUGUGUUAGAAAUCUAUCUAAGAAAGCAAACAGAGAUUGUGUGACUCAAGUUUUAAGUAUAUUGUCACAGUAUUAUACAUCAUAGUGAUAAAUAGGAAACAACCUGAAUGUCCCGAAACAGGAGAAAGUGAUAAAUUGUGGUAUAUUUAGAAGGUAGAGUAUUAGUUAUACAGACAUCAGAAAUAAUUUUUUAAAAGAAUAUUAAAAACAUAGAGGCAUGGUAAAGCGUUAAGUAAAAAGUAGGAUAGAGAAACAUAUAAUCGUAAAAAUAUUUUUCAAAGAAGAUUUGACAACAGGGUCCUGAUAAAAAUGUGAAGUUCAAAGGUAAGAUGGGGAACUGUGUAACUCAGAGCUGCAUCGUUCUUUCUACGCGUCUCGCUGGUGGAAACACCGCAUACAUAUCACCUCCCCUAAGCCCAUGGCAACCCUAUGAGGCAGGUACUAGGAUUCUCAUUUUACAGGUGAGGGAAUGUGUGCAGGGAGCAAUGUGCUCAGGUAACAGAGCCAGUGAGUGGUAGGGCCAGGUUUCAGACCUGGAGUCAGACUCCCGCGGCCACGCUUGUAACCUUGACUCACACAUCCUCUCACUGCCUACGGGGCAUGAGCCCGCAGUGUGGUGUGCGUGUGUCCAUGUGUGCGCAGGAUCCGAUAAAUUCUCCACAGCAGUAUUAGUGGUUAUCCCUGGGUGGUGGUGAUUUUUCUUUUCUUCUUUACCCCUUUUCACUAUUUUCUCAAGCAUUUGCAGCAAGCAGUACUUUUAAGGAGCCAGCGAGGAAAUGCGGCAGUUUCCCUAAAUUACAGAUAGAGGGUGGUAGGUGGUUAUUCUCCGCCCGACCUUCUCAGGCUGGGGCCAGAAGAGUGCCCUUGUGAGGUGGGGACUGGGACAGUCCAGUCUGCGUACUUAGGGGGUCUCUGCCAAGCACAGUGUAACCGUCACACUGGCCUCUCUUCUCCAAGUCUUUAACCUCCUGAGAAAAGGUUGUCCGAGGACAUUGUAAACCAUUUCUGUGGGGAGUUUUACAAUGUGUGACUCUUCAGUAAUGAAUAAUCUCUCAUUUAAAAAGAACUGGAGUGCCUGAGAUUUUAGGUAACUUUUAUAUUUCUUCUUAAUGUUUAAAAACACCUUUUUGCGUUAAUUUUAUUUUCUCUUUUACAACGAGUUGUUUUCAUUUGUGAAGUAUAACCCAACCUACAGGAGAAUAUUAAGACUUUUGUAAAUAUAUUAUGAGAUAUUUAAUACAUAUUGGGCUAAAUGACAUUAUGAGAUAUUUAAUACAUAUUGGGCUAAAUGGCAGUCAGCAGAUACUUACUGAAUCCUGUCAGGAACUGGGCUAGAUGCCUCAGGGACCUCCCUUCUGCCCAAGACUCCCUGACACAUCAUUCCUGCCCACAGAUCACUUUAAUCUACUUUGGGAACCGGGAGAUAUAUAAAAACAUUUCAGGCAGUAAGUGCUAACUUGCAUGGCACAGAUGGUAAGUGUUUUAGGAAUCUGAGGUGGGAAUAAUCACUGAGCGGUCAGUAAAGAACCUAUGGAGGAAGUGGGUCUUGGGCUGUCCUUGGUAGGAUCCUUUCAUUGGAGAGGAGAAGGAACAGAGGCAGAGAAGAGAAGAUCAGCCCUUAGGAAGCAGAGGAUUUACAUAGGAUGUGAUGGGACAUAAAGAGAGCUAAUGGGUGACAGAGUAUGGAGGGUCUUAAAUAUCCGGCUAGAAAAUUCACAUUACAAACGAUAUUGUUCAUAAUAGUGGAAAAUUUUUAAUGACCUAAAUACUCAUCAAAGGGACAAUGUCUCCAUGUCUAUGGCAUAUUUAAACAAUGUGCAAUGAGGCUGCCCUGAAAACUUUGAGAAGAGAGACUUGAUAGUGGCCAGGUUUUGAGGAAGCUUCAUCUAGCACGUGAGGAUGGGAGAACUGCUGGAAGUCGGAUGACUAGUUAGGUGACUCUUUCACUAAACCAGAUUUGAAGAGAGGAAGCCUCAUUAGGAUGGGGCCAUGGAAAAUGGAGAGGAGAUGAAAGACAAAGGCUUAAGGAGAGAAGCAAUAGGAUGUCAUUGCUGAACAUGCGUGUUGGAGCUAUUGACUUGCUGCUACGCACCCAAGGCAAAAACUCUGGCUUUGAGGAUUUUACUGUGCCGUGACACCUAAUGAUGGCUUAUGUUGUUGUUUUUUGUUUUUUUAAAGAAAGACGUCCACAAAUCUCCUUACAGGUCUGCCAUAUAAUCGAGGCUUAAUACGGUUUUUCACUACAUGGGCUGUUUAGGGUGCCUUGUUCUAUUGCUGUAGCCCUUACUAACAAGAUGGCCUUUCUGAUUUCUAAUCUAAAUAUUGCUACAUAUUAAAACCCCAUUUCUCAAGUUUAUCUUUUGUGAAGAAGAAUAAUUAGCUAUUCCUGCCAUUUGUACACUUCCACAUGUGUAAAGGAAGGCAUUCUUCAGCUUGGUUUCAUUAUGAUAAAUGGCAGCAACCCCUGUAAUAUUUGUCCUUAAGUCCGAUUUUACAAUAUAAAUUUGCCUGUACGAGCAAGGUGCUUGCACAAGAUAAAAAAUUGGAUUUGUGUAAUGUCCUGGAGACCAACAACCUGGAAAGAAUUUAUUUAUUCAUAUAUUUAUUUGUAUGUUAACUGAGGCUUUACUUUAUGCCCUGAGGAAGACAGAACUGUGACUUCAGGAUGAGAGGGGGUUUCAUAAACACAACAUAAUAAGUAUAAACGUAAAAGAAAGGGUUGAUGUAUUUGAUUAAAUUUAACAUGUAGUAAAACUUAUGUUAAAUGAAUAAGCAAAAAGUAAACAAAUUUUAAAAGCCAUAGACUGAGAAAAGAAUUUUCAACGCAUGUACCCAACAAAACCCUAGUAUCCAGAAUUCAUAAAGAAUGCCUACCAAUUAGUGGAAGAUAAACAACAAAACAUAAAAAUGGGCAAAACAUCAAUGAAGAGAAAAUCCAUAUUGCCAAUAAACUCAUGAGAAGACACUUAACUCUUCUAACAAUCUGGGAACCAGAAUCAUAAUGAGAUGUUAUUUCACACCCAUUAAGUUGGCAGAAUUUAAGAAACUUGACAAACUCAGCUGGUGAGGAUGUGGAGCACUGAUACUUCCAUCUAUUAUGGAUGAGAACGGGUGCACCUGCUCUGGAGAAUGAUUUGUCAGUUUCCUGGUGACCGGAAAGAGACUCAUUCCCUCCAGUGCAGAGCUUCUUUCCUAGAGACAUGUGUACAAGGAUAUAUACAAGACUAUUUGAUCCAAUAUUGUUCCUAAUAUUGAAACAUUUUAAAUGACUCAGAUGCUCAUCUAAAGGACAGUGGAUAAAUAAACAUGGUGUAUUUAGAUAGUGCAAUACUAUAUAGCAGUUUCAAUAAUGGAUUGGACCUUUAUUUACCAAUGUGUAUAAAUCUAAAAAUACAAUGUUGCAGAAAGCAUAGGUAUAGUAGUCCACGUGCCCAUGCAGAUCAAAUAAUACAGAGCAGGUUAUAGUGGAAAGUCAUGGUCUUCCAAGUAUCCUCCCCUCCUUGAACCCAGAAGUCAGAGAAAAUGUUUUCUUUUUUCCUUCCUUCCUUCCUUCCUUCCUUCCUUCCUUCCUUCCUUCCUUCCUUCCUUCCUUCCUUCUUUCCUUCCUUCCUUCCUUCCUUCCUUCCUUCCUUCCUUCCUUCCUUCCUUCCUUCCUUCCAGUUUCUUUACUAAGUUCUUCUUGUGGCUACCUUCAUAACUCUAGACUUUAUGUUGUUAUCUCUAUUAGUUAGCCUCUACUUAUUUAGAAGACUUUGACAUUACCUUUUAACUCUCCAAUAUGAAGAUUUUACUUUGCACUUUCCCAGUCUACCACCCUCUUCCCAGUAUUAAUAUUUAUAUUUGUGGUAGGCAGAAUUUUUAAAUGUAUAAGCACUCCUUUGUGGUUCUCUGAAUGUUCCGUUUUCAUAGCAACCUAUUCUUUUUGUAUGGGUACAACAGGGCUGGGGGGGCCUGUGGUUCAGCCUGUGGAACUUCCACUUAAUGCUCGGCUCUGGGUGUGGCAUCAUCUGCAAUAGCACCCGAUCCUGCAGCGGAGCUCCCCAUUUGUCUGGUAAGCCCAAAGCUUUGCUCACAUAUAAGGCGGGAAGACUGUGUAGCCGAUGUGGCCUUCCACAGCUGUUGUUAUUUUCAGGCAAGGUUUCUCUACCGAGUAGUCUUUGGAUUCAGAGCUCUGGGUAAGAUGGCAAGAAAUGGGCUGUCAGGCUUCAGGAGCCUCCAAAUAAAGACCUCAAGAGGGCUGAAAUAUUCUGUUCAGUAUCUUUGGGUUUGGUUUGGUUUUGCAUGGGGCUAAAUGCUGACGGCUGGCUCUCUGGACGGUGAUGGGUAAGAUGGUGUCGAGGAUAGUUGUCCUAUAAGACGUUCCCAUGUUCUCUCUCUUUUUAGCCCACUUCUUGCUUCUACCCUCUAAACAGCUUCUGACUCUGAGCCCAGAAACAUGUCAAGGUUCUGUCAGGUAGAUCAGCUUCCAGCGUCUCUGCAACAGCCACAGAAAAUUCUAGACGAUGGUUUCUCUUUGAGUUUCAUCAGUCAACUUUUCUUUAUUCUGUCUUGCAGCUUCCAAAGACUUACAGAUGUUUCUCUUUUGUUGGAGUGGCAGAAACUGCUAGCUGAGCACCCAAUAUUCAUAUUACCUUCUUUACUAACAAAACCUCUCUAUUGUUGGAAGUGGCAGCUGAAUAACAUACUUCAGCUUUCCUUGCAGAGAGAAGUGGCCAAUGAAAUGUAAGUGGAAGUCAUUAAGAGAGACUGCCAAAAAAAACCCCACAACUCUUAAAAGAGAUAGACUUGGAGUACCUGGCUGGCUCAGUCAGUAGAGCAUGAGACUGUUGAUCUUAGGGUUGUGAGCUUGAGUCCCACAUUGGGUAUAGAGAUCACUUAAAAAUAAAAAUCUUUUUUUUUUUUUUUAAAGAUUUUAUUUAUUUAUUUGACAGAGAGAGACACAGCGAGAGGGAACACAAGCAGGGGGAGUGGGAGAGGGAGAAGCAGGCUCCCCACAGAGCAGGGAGCCCGAUGCGGGACUCGAUCCCAGGACUCUGGGAUCAUGACCUGAGCCGAAGGCAGUCGCUUAACCAACUGAGCCACCCAGGCGCCCACAAAAAUAAAAAUCUUAAAAAAAAAAAAGAGUGAGACAGACUCAGCCAGCAGUUCUUCCUGUUUAUCUCUCCCCCCCCACCCCCCACUUCUUUUCCUUCCUGUGUGGAAUAGGGCCGUGUUUCCCGUAGCUGCAGCUGCCAUCUUGGCAGGAAAGGCCAAGAACUCUCCCAGACCUCAGGCCUGGCAUAUUUUCAAAUAUUUGCUCCUCCAAAGGAGGAUUAGAUAUUCUUGCCUGGUGCCUUGGGACUGUGGCAGAAAUAUAUUUUCCUGCCUCAUUGUCAGGUUUGGCCGUGUGACUUGCUUUGGCUAAUAAAAUGUGAGUGGGAGAAACCUGCAGAGCAUUGCACGUUUCCACCAGCAUUUUUGCUCUCUUCCCUCUGCCUUUAGAAAGGCACACCCAGGAUAGAGGCUGUUUUUUUAGCCUGGAUACUGUUAUGAGAAGACAUCUAGAGGAGACUGGCAACAUAUAUAGUGAGUUAGAAAUAAACCCUUGUUGGGCACCUGGCCGACUCAGUCCGUAGAGCAUGUGACUCUUGAUCUUGGGGUUGUGAGUUUGAGCCCCAUGCUGGGUGUAGAGAUUACUUAAAGUCUUAAAAAAUAAAUUAACAUCUGUUGUUGUAAGCCACGGAGAUUUUAGGUUUUGUUACUACAAUGUUAUCUAGUGGAAAGUUCGCUUACACAAUCUGUAAUAGGAUAUUAUGUGCUGGAGUUUCAGAGCUGAGGGAAAAGGGUGAAAAGUGCUCACACAUUCUGAAGAGAGACGCUAGCUCAACCUGCAGCCAUUUACCAUGAUUUAGGGAAACCAGUUCUGAAAUUCUGAAAUGGUGACAUUUGGAUCCUCUUGGGAGCAGACCCUGAGGUGAAGUUAUGAGUGCAAGAGGUUUAUUGGGGAGCGAUGGCUGUAACAGAUGAUGGAGGAAACAGGGUUGGACAGAGAGACCCCAGACUUUGAUGGGAAUCUGAGAAAGUAUUGGCCAACCCAGUGGAGACCUCUGGACCAGCAGCUGUCCACGAGAGGUGUGCCACAUUGAACGGAAAUAGCCAGGCCCUAGUGUUCCUGUUUGAGGUUCCACACUGACCCCUCUGCUGGGGAGUCUGUGCAUGUCUAGCCCUUCAAGUGGGUAAUCCUUCUCCAGGUGACCUUCCACUGCUCGGCUUGGUCCCUGUCCCCAGAAGCAGGACAGCUCUGGCCUCUUUCUCCUUAGGUUUCUUGAUGGCGGGCAGUUCUCUGGGUAGGGAUCCCUUUGGGCUCACAACAGCUACCUUCCACAGUGCCCAUUUGGGUCAUGAAAAACCCUAUGCAUCCCUCUUCUUUUUUUUUUUUUUUAAGAUUUUAUUUAUUUAUUUGAGAGAGAGAGAAUGAGAGACAGAGAGCAGGAGAGGGAGGAGGGUCAGAGGGAGAAGCAGACUCCCUGCCAAGCAGGGAGCCCGAUGCGGGACUCGAUCCCGGGACUCCAGGAUCAUGACCUGAGCCGAAGGCAGUCGCUUAACCAACUGAGCCACCCAGGCACCCGCAUCCCUCUUCUUUUUGCCCACAAUCUAAAUUGUGGUCAAAACCAUGUUAUAAACUUUGCCAUCUUAAUCAUCUGUAAAUGUCCAGAUCAGUAGGGUUAACUAUAUUCACAUUGUUGUGCAACAGGAGACCCGUGCAUCUUUCGUCAACAAAUUCCAGAAGCACAGGCUGUUCCCACUGUUGCCCUCAUCCCAUGCCCCUGGCACCAGGCUCUAUGCCUCCCAAACUCAAGAGACACAAUUCAAGCUCUUGCAAGAACCAUCCUGCUUCCUUCUGCCAAUCCUGCAGCAGCUUUAAGCGCAUGUCCUUCUGCGUGUGAGAGGGGCUCCCGCUUCUUCCAGCGGCUUCCUUAAACUUCCUUUCACUUCUUGCUUGAUCUGGGGAGGAAAGCACUCAGCUCCUGUCUCAGGGAGGGAGAAGAGGGGGAAAUGUCUUAGAACUCUUAGGCUAACAUUGCUUCUCAAAGAAAUCUCUGUUCCUGGAUCCCUCAAAAUAGGUUGCAGCCCUGCAGGUGCCCUGGAUUCUCUCUAUAAGAACUUGCUGCCAGAGGGGAGGGGUGGGGGAGAUGAGCAAAGUAGGGGAAGGGGAUUAAGAGGUACACCCCUCCACUUACAAAAUCAAUAAGCCACAGGGAUGAAAAGAAUUAGCCAACAAUAUUGUAAUAACAUUGUAUGGUGACAGACGGUAACUACGCUCGUGGUGGUGAGCAUUACGUCAUGUAUAGAACACCUGAAACUAAUGUAACAUUGUAUGUCAACUAAAUUCCAAUAAAGAGAAAAAAGAAUAAAAGGAAAGAACUUGCUGUCCCACUGUGAAGAGAGCAGUGGGCCUCAGGCCUCCAGCCGUAGCACCUCGAGCAUCUGCUACAGGAUUUGCACCAAGGCCAUGUGCUUCUGGGAGGUUCACCAUGGUGGGAUCACAGUGGACCCUCCAAAACUGAUUCAGAUGAGAAGCAGGCAGCAUUUGGAUGAUGUGUGCUGCCAUGACAGUGGGCAGGCACCAGACAGCGGAGAGGACUUAGCAACAGUACCAGCCAAGUAAGAAAACCGACACAAGCACUUCCUUCCCACCCCCACUUCCCCCCGCAUCUCUCUUUUCCUCUCAGCCUGGGAGCAAGUUAGGGGAGGAAGGCAUGUGGGGGAUGGAGUCCACACCCCCCGCUGCUGGCCUUGGCCCAUGGGGGUCCCCCAUGAACAGCCUCUGAGCCUCUGCUCUUGGGUUUUGCCCCCCACAGUCACUUUCAGCGAGGAGAGAAUGGCUGUCUGGCCUGCACGCCGAGUGCUGAUGUUUGGUGAUGUCUCACAGGGAACAACUGCUUUCACCCUGGAGGGCUUGGGGAAUUCUCUCAGAGGAGGAACAUAAACAAAGCAGGACUUAUCUGACACCGGAGAAGACACUUGGAGGGACAGAUGGCUGAAGUCUGGCUGAGGGAGAAAUCUACUUUGGAGCAGAAUGAGGACGGGCUCUUGAUCAUCAGCAGGUUCCAGAGUCACAGAGUCACUACUGUUGAAUCAUCGGUAUGCCUGUGCUCUCCAGGCUGGCCGCCCCGGUUCUGAGUGGGGAUGGACAGUGCUGGGCAGCCUGCGGUGAGGACUGAUCCAUUUUCCAGAGAAGGCAUGCUGCCGAGAAUUCACACCUGGCGAAUUCAACUUUGCCAUUGAAACAGGCAAUUCCGUUCCUCUUUCCUUUCUUGGCCCUCAAUUCCCUGCUUAGAAAGCGAGAGGGGUUGGCAGGGAGGUUUUGUUCUAGGGACCAGGGGAAGGUGUCCAGAUCUUUCUGGACAAAAAAGACACCGCUGUUUAUCUCUGAUGUAGUCUGUGGAAGUUACUCUUGCUCUCAGGAGCUUCUAGAGCAGAAGGGGGAGCUGCGCUCCUCACCGCGCAGGCUGAGGAGAAUUGCUGUUGGGAACAUGCUGCCUCUACUCUCUUUUGUUGUGCCAACGGCUGUUACAGUCCUUUGUGUACCCAUUUGUCUUCUCCACUGGACUUCAAAGAUCUUAGAAGGAGAAACUCCAUCUUGUUUAUCUCCAAAUACCCACAGUCACAUGCUUAGUGAGUGUUUUUUGAGUGUAUGAAUGGACGAGUAGGUAGGUGAAUGAGUAGGAACCGUCAUAAAAAAGUUGAGAAUCAAGUGGAAAGAUGGAGCCACAGAAUCUUCUAGGUAAAAUAUUUUUCAAAGAUUAGGGAUAUUCUGAUAUGUUGAGUUGACGGAGUAGAGAAUUUUAAAUGCAGCUUCAUUUGUCCAGCCAUUUAGGAGAAUUUACAAAUGUUUCAUUAGGCUGUAAUGUUACGUCAGCGAGGACCACACUUACCGCCAGCAGCUGGCGCCCAGCAAGCACACAGUAUGACGCUAAAGGAAAUAGUCUCGUCUCUUCUCUUUUGGGGGUUAGCCCAACCAGUAACCCUGACAGGAAGGAAGACACAGCCAAUUCAAUCAACGCGCACACAGCAUCUUCUUCUGGAAGUACUUUGCCAAGGACUGGGUGAACGUGAGAAUAAGUCAUGGGUUCUCUCUUUCGGGAGUUUUCGGAGGUAGAUACAUUUGCAUCCAACAAGGCAGAGUGUGAUAAGUACUAUAAUAGAAGCAGAAAUGCUAAGUGGAUCAGGAGAGGAGGAAUUUAUUAAAGCUUAUAGGAUGUGGGAGGACUUCACGGCAAUGAGUUCUGGUGGGAUAGGUAGGAUUUUGUCAGGGAGAAGUGGGAGGAGGAUCAUUUGCGUGACUACAGUGCAAGGUGCACAGGAUGAGAGGGUGAGGGUCAAGGUGGGAAAUUGCCUCCAAGAUGGCGCCCAAUGAUUCCCACCUCCUGGGACUCGUGCUCUUUUGGAGUCCUCCCGGAGUUGUAUGGGGGUUGGUCUGUGUGACCAAUGGAAGAUGGAGGAAGUGAUGGUGUGUGGCUUCUAAGAGUGCGUCACAGAAGAUGUUGCCACUUCCCUGCUGCUUUCUGGAUUGCCUGCUCUGGGGGAAGCCAGCUGCCUCCGCACGAGACCACACGGAAGCCUAGGGAGAGACCCGCAUAGGGAAGGAACAGAAGUCUCCUGCCAAGAGCCAGCACCAACCUGCCCUCCGUGUGAAUGAGCUGUCUUGAAAGUUGAUCUCCUGGCACUGGGCCAGGGCUUCAGGUGACUGCAGUCCUGGGUGACAUCGUGACUGAAACUUACAGAAGACCUUGAGCCAGAACUGCUCAGCAGUUUCUGAGCAGUUUCUGACCCACAGUAACUGCAAGAUAACAAGUUUUAUUGAUGCUUUAAGCCUCUGGUUUUGGGGGCAAUUUGUUAGACAGCGAUAGACACAUUGUACAGAAAUGAAGGCUUGGGGAGGAGUUUGGGGGAAGCCUUGAUUUUCAAGGAGCUGUACUUGCAUGCAAUGGGGGCACUGUUGUGUGUGUGUGUGUGUGUGUGUGUGUGUGUUUUAACGUAAAGGAUGAUCAUUCUGAUGCUGUACCUAAUCUAAUUUGGCAAAAGGAGUGCAGGGACAGGACGAUAAUUUAAGAGGCCACCGCAGUAGUCCAGACGAGAGAUGAUGAGCGAGCCUAAAUGGAGGCACUGAGGGGUGCGGGGUGGGGUUGGAAACAGAAAGAGGGGGCGCCUGGGUGGCUCAGUGGGUUAAGCGACUGCCUUCAGCUCAGGUCAUGAUCCCAGAGUCCUGGGAUCGAGUCCCACAUCAGGCUCCCAGCUCAGCGGGGAGCCUGCUUCUCCCUCUGACCCUCUCCGCUCUCAUGCUGUUUCUCUCUCUCUCUCAAAUAAAUAAAUAAAUAAAAUCUUAAAAAAAAAAAAAAGACAAUCAGAGCCUUUAAAAAAAAAGAAACAGAAAGAGGUGCAUCAAUUUCAAUGUGGGGAGUGAGGGUACAGGAGCAGCGGAGGUGACUCCCUGGCUCUGAGCGCAGGAACACGGGGGAGCCGUCAUCUCCUGUCCCCAAAAAGGAAACGCAGACGUGAGCACCGGUUUGGAGGCCGGGAUGCGUGGGAAUAAAGAAGCGGGGGCGUCUGUCUCCUGGAGAGAGCGCUCCCCGUGUUCAGAGCUCCGCGGACGGCUGACCACCAGGCUCGGUCACAGAUCCGGCUGGUUGAGAAAUCUCUCCCUAAAGGACAAGGCUGUUCCAUUUCACAGCACAUCUUCAUCACUGCCAAGUGUUCCCUGGUGACAGGCUCUGCCAUCGGUAUUUUUAGCAUGUGGCCUUUCGCAGCCUGAAGAGCAGCAUCCUCUUCCUGGAGCUCCUUCUCCUGCGGACAGCCAGUGGCCCGCGGAGGAGGCAGCUUCAGCGGGGCCUGACAAGCGAGAGCCUGUCGCAGCGCCAACCUGCUGGGGGAGAGGCCGUCAGACCCCAAGUUUUAGAGAGAGCCUCCAUCUCAUUCCGUUCUGUUCUGCUGCAGACGCCUACCAACUUCAGUGCCAAUCAGCAGCUGAAACAGAAAAAAAGCCUGUCCAUGAAUCCCAAGUGGAAGGAAGUUUCUCAGGCAAUUUCCUUAUAUGACAGUUACAUCAAGCCCGAAGGUAAUACCUGGCCAGGUAAUGUCAGAAACCCACCAGGACCUACGUUUUGCUUUUAUAGGUCCUAGAACAGGCCUGAGCGAAAACCCUUUGGGAUUUGUAACAUGUUCCAUUGCCUCAAAUGGAGCCAGAUUUGGGGCAAAGCAAGAGAGCACUGAGGCAAGCUUGAGAAGGGUGAACGGUUUCUCAGAUGGGGUCUGCAGUCCCUGGCCGAGGCUGGGGUUAUGAGAAUAGAAGGACUGUCCUCCAGACUUGUAAGAGUUCUCUGCAAGAAUUUUAAAAUUGUGUGUUUCAUGGUUAUGGUAAUCUAAACAGAUUAGGAUGAGCAGACUCGGUGCUGACUGUCCCCCUUAUGUAGGAAUAUCAUCUUGCAACCCCGGGCCCCAUAGCCACAAAUGUGUUUAUGAUCAUUUUGAUGCCAAGUGGCAUUUUUAUUUUUUUUUAAAGAUUUUAUUUAUUUAUUUGAGAGAGAGAGAGUGAGAGAGCGAGCACGAGCAGGGGGAGGGGCAGAGGGAGAAAGAGAAGCAGACUCCCUGCUCAGCAGGGAGCCGGAUGCAAAUGCAGGACUCGAUCCCAGGACCCCAGGAUCAUGACCUGAGCCAAAGACAGAUGUUUAACCCACUGAGCCACCCAAGCGCCCCCCAAGUGGCAUUUUUAAAGGUGGUCGCACAGACUAAAGGAAAAGGCGAAAAAUGGAUUUAGUACAGAACAAAGCAUUUGUGUCAAGUGAAGACCAGUAACAUCUUUGUGCCCUGUCAGAACAAAUGUGUAGCGGCCACUCAAGGCAGGAAUGCCAGCAAAGCUGCCAGGGACAGGAAGGGCCACCUUCUUGGUGUGAGGAUCAGGGUUCAGCAAAACAGUAUCCUUUGUCGCUCUGAACUCAUGUGGUCCCUGGAAUUUAGGGGUUUUGAAGAAAAAGAGCCACUCUUCGGGGGAAUAUAAUCACCGCAGCAAUCACCAUCAUCAAAGCAUUUACCUGGUGUGUGCCCUCGGAGCGUCGGUAGGAUUAGUAAUAGGAGGUGGUGGUUGUUUCUCCAUGAGGACUGCAUGGAUGCGGAGAAUGUGUGGGGAUCAGAAGACGACGGUCUUUUGUUAAUGAGGUGAAGGCCCCACAUUAAGUCUACCCUGGGUGGUGUGCAUGGACAUAAGUCUACUCUGGAUGGGCAAUAGCAGGAUUUUCUUCUUGAAGAGGAUUUGGGGAGAACACCCGCCCUGGAACGAGAGGACGAGACUAUACAUGUUGGGUAGUAAUAAGUGCGCAAGGCAAGAGAUCUUCACAGCAGGGUCCUAUACUGCUGUGAAAACUGCCCUGAGCUAAAACCAAAUCACAUGUAUGUGGACAUGUUGGAGGCGGGACGGGGACAGAAGCUCCAGGGGGACCUCAGAAAGAGUCAAAGCACCAGGGAUAACCCCCACCCUCUCCCUUAGCAAAUCCAACUCUUUUUUUAGUUGGGGUCUCUUGGAACUUCAAAGCUUUGGGUACAUUUGAUUCACACACCCAGUUUCCUGGCUGUGAGUGUCUAAAGCUGGUCCUGGGAUGCCUGGAACGUCUGGUACCUCACCUUCCCUUGGGCCUCAGUCUCCCCUCAGGAAUAACCACCUGUGUCCUAUUUCCAUGCAACUUGACUCGUGCACAGAGCUCCCCCACCUACACGAGAAGAUCCUUUAAGCCAUGUGAUUAAUGCAAUUAAUGGUAUGCACUUCUGAGGAUUAAAGGACUUGUGGAUGGAGGCUGUAUACCACACUGCUUUUGAUUCUUCAUUUUCCCCUUAUUAUCUUUAUAUUUUUAUUCUAGUUUUUCCUUCCUGAAUUACUUUUGGCCACAUUAACAGAAACCUGACUGCAGGGGCUUAACCAAAUAAGGUACUUUUUGUUUUUUUGAGAUAGGGUUUGUAAAUGUAAAUGCACACAUUUUAAGUUUACAGUUCAAUGAGUUUUGACAAAGGCACUGUAGCUCCUAAAACCACCCCAUCAAUAUACAAGACAUUUUUGUCACCCUAGAAAAUGAGCUCAUAUUCCUUUCUUGUGAAUCCUGACCCUGUCCCCCAGGCAACCACUGUUCCGAUUUCUCUUACCAUAGCCUCUUUUUGCCUGUUUCUGGAACUUCAUAUAAAUAGAACAAUACAGAGUGUAUUCUUUUGUGACUGACUUCUCUUGCUCAACAUAAUAUUCAUGGGAUUCAUCCGCGUUGCUGAAAGUUUCGGUAGUUCUUUCCUUUUUAUUGCUGAGUAGUAUUCUAUUGAAUAAAUAUACCACAAUUUGUGUAUCCAUUCAUUGGUUGGUAAAUAUUCAGA